Long non-coding RNA from Pseudopipra pipra, 2611 nucleotides. RefSeq lists it as uncharacterized. Lineage: Eukaryota; Metazoa; Chordata; Aves; Passeriformes; Pipridae. The transcript has 8 exons. The record is from RefSeq and is a predicted model, not a curated record.
AGAAGCAGAUCUGCGGUCCCAAGCAGUGCUGUCAGCGGAGUUCUGGCUGCAAGUCCACUUCUGGAUUCACCUGGCCUGGGACAUGUUGGCAUCAGUUUGGGACUGAGCAGAAGUCUGGCUCUCAGAACACCACCCAGACACCUGUGGUAAAGCCCAAGACUUCUGCUCAUCAGGACAUCCUGUAAGGGACCGUUCAGAUGGAUGGAACAAAUUGCUUCCUUUCCUUAAUUUCGACAUCCACAGCCUAGUAGCCAGUUUCCUUAAUGGUGGCCUUCAAGGUUUGGUAGCAAAGACUCCAAGAUCAGCUCUAACCCAUCCCUACAUUGUUCAACGACAAUGAUCCUAGUGGUGAAGGCAGUGAAAAUGCUACUUAAAAUUGGAGAGGUGGUGCUGCAUUGGUCCCCUUGUUGUACGAAAGGAAUCGCUGGAGCUUUGGGGACAAGAAGUGCCAACAGCCACGACAACUGUACACAGGCAACAGUAUCGGAGGAACCGAGAUGCUGUGACCCCCAUCCAUCCAUCCAGUACAUCCAUGACAUCAUUGUGUGGGGGGACACAGCAGAAGAAGUUUUUGAGAAAGGACAGAAGAUCAUCCAGAUUCUCCUCGAGGCCUGUUUUGCCAUCAAGAAGAGUAAGGUCAAGGGACCUGCCCAAGAGAUCCAGUUCCUAGGGCUGAAAUGGCAAAUGGACGACACCAGAUACCAACAGACGUCAUCAACAAGAUUGUAGCAAUGGCUCCACCCACAAACAAGAAAGAAACCCAAGCUUUUCUGGGAGCCACUGGCUUCUGGAGGAUGCACAUCCCAGAGUACAGCCGGAUGGUGAGCCCUCUUUACUUUGUGACCUGUGAAAAGAACAAUUUCCAAUGGGGUCCUGAACAACAACAAGCUUUCAGGCAGAUCAAGCAAGAGAUUGCACAUGCCGUGGCGCUUGGAGCAGUCAGGACAGGACCAGAGGUAAAGAAUGUGCUCUACUCUGCAGCUGGAGAUAAAGGUCCCUCCUGGAGCCUCUGGCCAAAGGUGCCUGGUGAGACGUGAGGGCGACCACUGGGUUUCUGGAGCCGAAGCUACAGAGGUUCUGAGGCCAAUUCCACCCCUGUGGAGAAGGAAAUCUUAGCAGCCUAUGAAGGCAUACGAGCAGCUUCAGAGCUUUCAGAUUCAGCAAUGUCCUCACUCCCGACAGACCUGGGUCCCCUUUCCAGAGUAAUGGAGGAGCACCGUGAUUUUUUAAUCCAAAAUUCCCAGAUUGGAAUGAAAUGCUCUGGAAAGGCUCUGGAAAUCAUUGGGUGUUCACAAUCAUCAAUGAAGAUGUUCACCAGGAAUUGCUGAUCACUGGCCUCCAGCUGGAUGUUGCACUCCUGAUCACCACCCUGGCCAGCAGAUUUCAACCAGCCUGCUGUCUGCUCAUCCAGCCCAUACUUCAUGGGCUUCUCUGUGAGGGAGCCCUGUCUGUGUCCACUAGUACACACAUUCAUUUGGAUUUUAAACAAUCAAACAGAAGUGAGAGUUUUAAGAGCAGAAUUAUUUUUCAAAGGGAAAUAGAAGGGUAUGGCUUUGAUGGAACGAGUGCCUUCAAGCUCCACUGGCAGGCACUGUUUGAAAACUAUUUGGGUGAUUUUUGAUAAGAAAUGAAAGAUGCAACAGCAGGAAGCCAUUCAGCAAUCCCUGACAAGGGAGGUCCACUGUCAAUUGCUGGGAGGGCCCCCACCUGUUUCUUUUAAUGGUGCUCCCAAAUCCCACCCCUUGGGCCUCCCAUCCCAUCCUUUUUGGUCCCCUCAGGCAUCUCCUCCCCAGGAUCUGCUCUGUGUCCUACCCAGGGUCCCCAAACAUCCUCCCACUGAUCAUUCCCAAAGCUUUUCUUUCCAUCCUUCCCCUCAGACCUUUGCCUUUCACCCAGGCCACUGCCCUGGUACCUCCCAAGACCAUUCCUUGCCUCCCUCUCCACUCCCAACCAUCUCCCAGUGCCCUCAUUUUUGUCCUCCUCCAUCCUCCUCCUCCUGUCCCCACCAAGCCUCUCCCUUGCAGUCCCCAUGUCCCUACACUUGAAUUCCUUUCCCCUCCCCUGCAUCCCACACAGGGCCCCUUCAAUACCCCAAUCCCAGUCCCGUGGGCUCCCCAGUUCCCCCCAGUUCAGCAUCUUUGGGUCCCCCCCAAUCUCUCCCCACCGUCCCUGCAGGCCCUGAAUUCCCCUGGCUCUCCUUGUCUCCAUCCCCACCCUGGGCCCUGCAGGCACAGGGGUUGGAGGUGAAACUGGGUGCAGUGGGAGCAGGGGGAGCAGAAGGGAUUUUCCCCCUCAGACGGGGGCAGCCCUGGGCUGGGGGGCUGGGGACACCCGUGUCCCUCCCCCAGCCCCACAGGGGCCAAUCCUGCUUAACCCUUUGCUCUCCUUGCCCAGGCACUCUUGGCAGGAACCCAAAAUGAUCUGCGGGAGCUGCAUUUAGUGGACGUUGGGAUCCUGAAGAUGGCUCAGCCCCCUGUGGUUGAGAAGGUGCUGGGUCCUGUUGGUGAGAAAGGCGUGGCUGCAUCCCUGGAUGGCUGAGGACUGGUGGUGACACCCGUGCCCUGUCCCCCUCCAGCACCAUGAGGAGAUGAUCAUCCCUGGAAGAACUCCC